UACGAAGGGGGCGAGCGUUGUUCGGAAUUACUGGGCGUAAAGCGUGCGCAGGCGGUCCGCAAAGUCUGAUGUGAAAGCCCCGGGCUCAACCUGGGAACUGCAUUGGAAACUAACGGGCUCGAGUGUGGCAGAGGGGGGUGGAAUUCCACGUGUAGCAGUGAAAUGCGUAGAGAUGUGGAGGAACACCGAUGGCGAAGGCAGCCCCCUGGGCUAACACUGACGCUCAGGCACGAAAGCGUGGGGAGCAAGCAGG
Molecule: ribosomal RNA, 253 nt
Filed under: uncultured bacterium
Lineage: Bacteria
Description: partial 16S ribosomal RNA
Rfam family: Bacterial small subunit ribosomal RNA
Source: RNAcentral